This 757-nucleotide ribosomal RNA is filed under the name Nesterenkonia sp. YIM 64802. Its description in RNAcentral is "bacterial SSU rRNA". It matches the Rfam family "Bacterial small subunit ribosomal RNA", at positions 65 to 831 of the family's 1533-position model. Lineage: Bacteria; Bacillati; Actinomycetota; Actinomycetes; Micrococcales; Micrococcaceae. The record is from RNAcentral.
AACGAUGAAGCCCGUGCUUGCACGGGUGGAUUAGUGGCGAACGGGUGAGUAUCACGUGAGUAACCUGCCCUUGACUCUGGGAUAAGCCUGGGAAACUGGGUCUAAUACCGGAUAUGACCAGUCCUCGCAUGAGGUGCUGGUGGAAAGAUUUUAUCGGUCUUGGAUGGACUCGCGGCCUAUCAGCUAGACGGUGAGGUAACGGCUCACCGUGGCGAUGACGGGUAGCCGGCCUGAGAGGGUGACCGGCCACACUGGGACUGAGACACGGCCCAGACUCCUACGGGAGGCAGCAGUGGGGAAUAUUGCACAAUGGGCGCAAGCCUGAUGCAGCGACGCCGCGUGCGGGAUGACGGCCUUCGGGUUGUAAACCGCUUUCAGCAGGGAAGAAGCUUUUGUGACGGUACCUGCAGAAGAAGCGCCGGCUAACUACGUGCCAGCAGCCGCGGUAAUACGUAGGGCGCGAGCGUUAUCCGGAAUUAUUGGGCGUAAAGAGCUCGUAGGCGGCUUGUCGCGUCUGCUGUGAAAGCCCGGGGCUUAACCCCGGGUGUGCAGUGGGUACGGGCAGGCUAGAGUGCAGUAGGGGAGACUGGAAUUCCUGGUGUAGCGGUGAAAUGCGCAGAUAUCAGGAGGAACACCGAUGGCGAAGGCAGGUCUCUGGGCUGUUACUGACGCUGAGGAGCGAAAGCAUGGGGAGCGAACAGGAUUAGAUACCCUGGUAGUCCAUGCCGUAAACGUUGGGCACUAGGUGUGGGGGACA